Molecule: ribosomal RNA, 316 nt
Filed under: Escherichia coli
Lineage: Bacteria; Pseudomonadati; Pseudomonadota; Gammaproteobacteria; Enterobacterales; Enterobacteriaceae
Also listed under: 1 other name
Description: bacterial SSU rRNA
Rfam family: Bacterial small subunit ribosomal RNA
Source: RNAcentral
GUGGCGGACGGGUGAGUAAUGUCUGGGAAACUGCCUGAUGGAGGGGGAUAACUACUGGAAACGGUAGCUAAUACCGCAUAACGUCGCAAGACCAAAGAGGGGGACCUUCGGGCCUCUUGCCAUCGGAUGUGCCCAGAUGGGAUUAGCUAGUAGGUGGGGUAACGGCUCACCUAGGCGACGAUCCCUAGCUGGUCUGAGAGGAUGACCAGCCACACUGGAACUGAGACACGGUCCAGACUCCUACGGGAGGCAGCAGUGGGGAAUAUUGCACAAUGGGCGCAAGCCUGAUGCAGCCAUGCCGCGUGUAUGAAGAAGG